Chenopodium quinoa (quinoa) is the source of this 1572-nucleotide long non-coding RNA. RefSeq lists it as uncharacterized. Lineage: Eukaryota; Viridiplantae; Streptophyta; Magnoliopsida; Caryophyllales; Amaranthaceae. The transcript has 6 exons. The record is from RefSeq and is a predicted model, not a curated record.
UUAAUUAAAAUAAAAACACUAGUAGAAAGAAUGAAUUGCGCAGCGCACUUUUCGCACCGGUUCUUGAAAACCGGUGGGAAAAGAAAUGGGCGGGGUUGGGGAAAAUAUUUUUCCCACCGGUUCCUAAUAAACUGGUGGGAAAUCAUAUUUUUCGCACCAGUUCAAACCGGUGCGAAUUACGAAAUAUAAAAAAAAAAAAAAAAACCGGGCUGCUUUUCUUCUUUCUUUCUUUCUUUCUUCUGUACUUUUACUUUCCCUCUCGUAUUCGCCUUCGUUCUCCACCCACAAUCCCGAAUUGCCCUAGCUUUCUCACUCCAUUGAAGCUGCACCUCCGCCUUCUCACUCCAUUGAAGCAGCACCUCCGCCUCCAUUGAAUCGUGCUCUAUAUUCUCCAUUGAAGUCGAAUCUGAGCUUUCUCACCUCCAUUGAACCUGCUCCUGGUGUCUGAAUUGAAAGGAGAAGAUGUGGUCUGCCUCAUCAAGAAUUCAGCUACAUUGUCUGGGCCUCUGUACACUUUGCAUGUCUCCCAAAUUUAUAUAGAUCGACCAACCCUGACAGAAAAGGAUAAAGAGGUGAUAAAAACAUGGGGUGCUCGGAAUAAUAUUGAUUUCCUCACUUUGUCAUAUACCCGCCAUGCUGAAGAUAUCCGUGAGGCUCGGGAGUUCCUUUCUAAUCAUUGUGAUCUACAGCAGACUCAAAUUUUUGCAAAAAUUAAAAAUAUUGAAGGAUUGACCCAUUUUGAUGAGAUUCUACAAGAAGCUGAUGGCAUUAUCCUCUCUCGUGGAAAUUUGGGAAUUGAUCUCCCACCGGAGAAGUAAAUUCGGGGAGUAUCUAUAUCAGGCCAUCGAAUUUUCCAAAUUUAUGCGGUAUGUAUGUCAAUUCCUGUCUAGAUUUUCUGGUAAACUGCAUGUUACUGCAGUCUUUUCAUAAUAAUUUCCAUAAUUCUGAAUUUCAUGCAAUCAUACUCUAGUACUGAGAUAAUCUUCCUAUUUAUAUUGUGGGGCAUUGGUCAGAGCUCUGAUUCUUUUGUUAAGUUGGAUUCUUACCUAUUUUACAAGGCAGAUUGAUUGACUAUUCUCACUAUCAGAAUAGCAUCAACUGCUGAACAGUUAGAGGUAAAGGAUGAAAGCAUCUUGCUCUUCAGCAAGAGUUCAGGACUGAAGAUCAAUGCUCCUGUGUAGUUGUUUAUGUUCUGUUGAUGUUAGCUGUCGGGCUGUGUCUGCUCAGCUGCUGUUGCUAACUUGCUAAGAGCUGCUGUGAGCUGCCGUUUCUGCUGUGCUGUGAUGUCGAGUUUUCCUGUGUUGGUGUUGCUAUGUUGCUGUCUGCUUCCUUUUGUAGUGCUGUGUUGCGGUUUCUGGGGUGCUGUGAUGCUGAGUUGAUGUGCUUGCUCUGCUGCUUUGGUGUUGCGCUGUGUUUUGUUAUUUUUGUAGCCUGUUGAGCUGCUUAGUUUGGGCUAUUUAAUUUAGUUAGAUGUUUGCUGUUUAUAUGCUUCAUUAGAACAGGUUUUUGGAGUAUUAGAAGUAAAUUUUGUAACUUUAUAUAUAUGUUAGUUUUUAUAUAUCAAUUUUAGUG